AUACGGAGGGGGCUAGCGUUGUUCGGAAUUACUGGGCGUAAAGGGCGCGUAGGCGGAUUGUCAAGUCAGAGGUGAAAGCCCUGGGCUCAACCUGGGAACUGCCUUUGAAACUAACGGUCUAGAGGCCGAGAGAGGAUAGCGGAAUUCCCAGUGUAGAGGUGAAAUUCGUAGAUAUUGGGACGAACACCAGUGGCGAAGGCGGCUAUCUGGCUCGGUACUGACGCUGAGGCGCGAAAGCGUGGGGAGCAAACAGGAUUAGAAACCCCAGUAGUCC
This 274-nucleotide ribosomal RNA is filed under the name uncultured bacterium. RNAcentral's name for it is "partial 16S ribosomal RNA". It matches the Rfam family "Bacterial small subunit ribosomal RNA", at positions 523 to 796 of the family's 1533-position model. The record is from RNAcentral.